ACACAAAAGACAGAGGGUCUUCCGGUCAUCAGGCAGGUGAUAGAGUACAGGCACACCGGGAGCCAAUUUUUGUUGUUUAUGAGCAGCCUUCCCAAAGGCUCAGAUGGCUACCCACUUCAAGACAUAGAAUUGGUAUUCCACCAUCAGGAAAUACGGUCUGCUGAAAAGAGGCCCCGUCUUGGAGUCAGAACUGAGCGCAGAAGAGCAGAGUGCCUUGAAAACACUGGAGAAAAACCUAGGCUGUUUCUUGCCAGAAAACUCUCCCACAUUGCAAAGAACUGAAAUCAGACAGAAAAGUGCCAAUGACACUUCAAGCCUUAUUUG
This 324-nucleotide long non-coding RNA is filed under the name Chinchilla lanigera (long-tailed chinchilla). Its description in RNAcentral is "lncRNA (ENSCLAG00000028159.1)". Lineage: Eukaryota; Metazoa; Chordata; Mammalia; Rodentia; Chinchillidae. The record is from RNAcentral.